GAGGGGCCAGUUUAGGAGAUGAGGGGCCAGUUUAGGAGAUGAGGGGUCAGUUUAGGAGAUGAGGGGUCAGUUUAGGAGAUGAGGGGCCAGUUUAGGAGAUGAGGGGCCAGUUUAGGAGAUGAGGGGUCAGUUUAGGAGAUGAGGAGUCAGUUUAGGAGAUGAGGGGCCAGUUUAGGAGAUUAGGGGCCAGUUUAAGGAGAUGAGGGGCCAGUUUAGGAGAUGAGGGGGUCAGUUUAGGAGGUCAGGAGGAAUCAAAGAUGGGGUCUCUCUCUCUCUCUCUCUCUCACCUUCUUCCCAUCGUCCGUCUUGGUGAUAACAGGGUUCUCUUCAUUCUCUCUCGCUCCGCCCACUGACGACUCCGUCACAACAUCCCUGCAGGACAGGAAGCGGUUAACGUCAACAGGAAGUGUGAGUUUAGGCGUGUGUCUAUAUUAAAGGUGUGUGUUUA
RNAcentral lists this long non-coding RNA (448 nucleotides) under Salmo salar (Atlantic salmon). RNAcentral's name for it is "lncRNA (ENSSSAG00000112743.1)". Lineage: Eukaryota; Metazoa; Chordata; Actinopteri; Salmoniformes; Salmonidae. The record is from RNAcentral.